GACAGAGCAGCAGCAAGAUUUAUGCCUCGAUGCCCUGCCUGAUGAUGCAGACGACGUGCACUGAUGCCAGAUGAAACGGUCUCUUCAUCAGUGAUACGCGUCUGAGUAGCAUUAGGCCAUUAGAUACAACUUUACAGCUGUCUAUUCACUAUUCAGUAUCACUUCGACGUUCCUGCACAGAUGUUUUCACAUCGAUUUGAGGAUGAGGAAAACAUUUCGAUGCAUUAUUGGAUUCGAGACUUUUCGAUACUCGAUUCGAUACUUUUGGUAUGGUGUUGUGGAAAAAAAAGAUUUUGAAGCACUCGAAUAGGUGCAACGCCUUACCUGUCCCAAAAGUCCUUCAGCAGACGUUUUCUAAAAAGCCCUUUAGUGAAAACCCGCCAAAAUUUACUGCUUUUACCAGAGUCAAACGAGCGAUACAGCUGGAUUUAAAAAGGAUAACGAAUCCAAUAAUUGGGUCAAUCAACAGAGGACUCAGUUUUAUCGUUGCUAGCCCAAUUUAUAAAGAAUUUUACAAUGCUGGGAAUAAAGUCAAACUUAAAAGUGUUGAAACAAAUGAUGCUAUUGACAGCUAUGUUCAAUAUGCUGUAAACAAAGUUUUUGCUCCUGUAUGAUAUAAAAAUAUGUAUUUAAUAAAUAAUUACAUUAUA
Molecule: long non-coding RNA, 650 nt
Filed under: Cimex lectularius (bed bug)
Lineage: Eukaryota; Metazoa; Arthropoda; Insecta; Hemiptera; Cimicidae
Description: uncharacterized LOC106670589, transcript variant X1
Source: RNAcentral